This 66-nucleotide ribosomal RNA is filed under the name uncultured eukaryote. RNAcentral describes it as "partial small subunit ribosomal RNA". The record is from RNAcentral.
CGGUGUGAUUCAUGACUGGGGUGAAGUCGUAACAAGGUAGCUGUAGGUGAACCUGCAGAAGGAUCA